Molecule: long non-coding RNA, 1197 nt
Filed under: Chloebia gouldiae (Gouldian finch)
Lineage: Eukaryota; Metazoa; Chordata; Aves; Passeriformes; Passeridae
Description: Erythrura gouldiae (Gouldian finch) lncRNA (ENSEGOG00005018194.1)
Source: RNAcentral
GAAGUCCCCGCUUUUACCCCGCCCUUCUCGCCCGAAAUUCCCGUUUUCUACCCCAUUUUUAGCUCAAAAUUCCCAUUUUUUCCCCAUUUUUAGGCUAAAAAUCAGAUUUUUUUUCUCCCAUUUUUUCCCCAUUUUUAGCCCAAAAUUUCCAUUUUUUCCCCUCAUUUUUAGCCCAAAAAUCAGAUUUUUCCUCCAUUUUUUCCCCAAAAUUCCCAUUUUUUCCCCCCCAUUUUCAGGCCAAAAAUCAGAUUUUGUUCUCCAUUUUUAGCCCAAAAUUCCCAUUUCCCCCCAUUUUUAUGCCAAAAAUCAGAUUUUUUUUUUCUUCCAUUUUUUUCCCCAUUUUCCCCCCAAAAUUCCAUUUUUCCCCCCUUUUUUCCAGAGCUUGAUCCCCGAAAUCCGUGCUGGGGGCGGGGCCGAGCCCCCGGAAGGGGGCGGGGACGGGGGGGAGGGGCCGGAAGCCGAGGGGGAGGGGCCGGACAAAGGGGGCGUGGCCUCCUCCGGCCCCGCCCCCGCCUCGGCCCCGCCCCCGCUGCUGCUCCCCUCCCCCCACCUGAAGAUCUGCCGCACCGUCACCCAGCCCCUCCCCCUCCCCCAGGUGGUGCCGGCGCCGGGGGAGAACGGGCGGGGGGAGGGGCAGGAGGAAGAGGAGGAGGAGGGGGCGGAGUCGGACGAAGGGGGCGGGGCCGGCCGGCCCAAGCCCCUCCCCCACCACGCCCCCCCUCCGGCCGCGGGGGGAGGGGCUGCGCCCGGCCCCGCCCCUCCCCCGCCCGCCGCGGCCACGCCCACCUCGGCGGAGGGGGAGGGGAAAGGAGGUGAGGAGGGGGCGGGGCUAAGAUGGGAGGGGGAGGGGCUUGAUGAAUGGGAGGGGGAGGGGUUAAAAAUGCAAAUGAGCUGUUAUAAAUGGGGGGGAGGGGCUUUAAAUGUGUGGGGGAGCGGCUUAAAGGGAAGAGGGGGAGGGGCUUGAAGGAAUGGGAGGGGCUUAAAUGGGGUGGGAGGGGCUUAAAAGGGUGGGGGGGUUAAAAAUGCAAAUGAGCUGUUUAAAUAUGCAAAUGAGCUGCUUACAAUGCUUGGGAGGGGCUUAAGGUGUGGAGGAGGGGCUUAAAAGGGUGUGGGUGGGGUUAAGUAUGCAAAUGAGCUGCUUAAAAUGCAGGGAAAGGGGGCUUAGGAUGAGGGGGAGGGGUUAAAAAUGCAAAUGAG